AUCUAGAGAAAGGGGAAGUAGAACCGUUAGAGAGAGAGAGGGAGAGAGAGAAGAGGCAAAGCUUCUCCCUAAGGAAUUCAACAUCCAUGGAAGCUUGAAGAUGGUUGAAGAAGAUAGAAGAGAGAGGAAAGAUCAACCAAAAGCUUGGGAAAAAUUGAAGAGACUAAGGGAUGAACAAAGGUUUGGGUAAGGUCGAGACGAGGACAUUGUACCAUUACCACCGGGAACCGAUCACUGUAACCAACCAAGUGGUCAGUCCUAGUCAUGACACCCGUUUUCUUUUGUCAACCUUCGUGGGUUCAGGCGCUGCACGAAGCCAUUUAUUUUUGUAAAGUCUAUUGAAAUGUUGGCUUAAUUUUGAUUACCUAUUUAAAGUUAAAGAGGUAGAACUUCA
Molecule: non-coding RNA, 394 nt
Organism: Camellia sinensis
Lineage: Eukaryota; Viridiplantae; Streptophyta; Magnoliopsida; Ericales; Theaceae
Source: RefSeq, a predicted model, not a curated record